This 465-nucleotide ribosomal RNA is filed under the name uncultured bacterium. Its description in RNAcentral is "partial 16S ribosomal RNA". It matches the Rfam family "Bacterial small subunit ribosomal RNA", at positions 28 to 507 of the family's 1533-position model. The record is from RNAcentral.
GACGAACGCUGGCGGCGUGCUUAACACAUGCAAGUCGAACGGAAAGGCCCUGCUUGCAGGGUACUCGAGUGGCGAACGGGUGAGUAACACGUGGGUGAUCUGCCCUGCACUUCGGGAUAAGCCUGGGAAACUGGGUCUAAUACCGGAUAUGACCUUCCAUGUAGUGUGGGGGGUGGAAAGAUUUAUCGGUGUGGGAUGAGCCCGCGGCCUAUCAGCUUGUUGGUGGGGUAAUGGCCUACCAAGGCGUCGACGGGUAGCCGGCCUGAGAGGGUGGACGGCCACAUUGGGACUGAGAUACGGCCCAGACUCCUACGGGAGGCAGCAGUGGGGAAUGUUGCACUAUGGGCGGAAGCCUUAUGCAGCGACGCCGCGUGGGGGAUGACGGCCUUCGGGUUGUAAACCUCUUUCGACAGGGACGGAACUUUGGUGACGGUACCUGUAUAAGAAGCACCGGCUAACUACGUG